UAACCGUGCCUCAUACACAUGGAUAACAUACCGAAAGGUAUGCUAAUACAAGAUGAUAUAAGAGAUUCGCAUGGAUUUCUUAUCAAAGCUCCGGCGGUAUGAGAUGGACCCGCGUCUGAUUAGCUAGUUGGUAAGGUAAUGGCUUACCAAGGCAACGAUCAGUAGCCGACCUGAGAGGGUGAUCGGCCACAUUGGAACUGAGACACGGUCCAA
Molecule: ribosomal RNA, 213 nt
Filed under: uncultured bacterium
Lineage: Bacteria
Description: partial 16S ribosomal RNA
Rfam family: Bacterial small subunit ribosomal RNA
Source: RNAcentral